GACGAACGCUGGCGGCGUGCUUAAUACAUGCAAGUCGAGCGUGAAAGUCCCUUCGGAGAUGAGUAAAGCGGCGCACGGGUGAGUAACACGUAGAUUAUCUGCCCCUGAGACUGAGAUAACCGCGGGAAACUGUGGCUAAUACCGGAUGACGCAUUAUUAUUGGAUUAAUGAUGUUAAAGUGGCGCAAGUCACACUUGGGGAUGAGUCUGCGACCUAUCAGCUAGUUGGUUGGGUAAUGGCCUACCAAGGCGAAGACGGGUAGCUGGUCUGAGAGGAUGAUCAGCCACACUGGGACUGAGACACGGCCCAGACUCCUACGGGAGGCAGCAGUAGGGAAUAUUGCGCAAUGGAGGAAACUCUGACGCAGCGACGCCGCGUGAGUGAUGACGGCCUUUCUGGUUGUAAAGCUCUGUAAGGAGGGAAGAACCGCAAGUGGUAACGCACUUGUCUGACGGUACCUCCGAAGUAAGGACCGGCUAAAUACG
This 485-nucleotide ribosomal RNA is filed under the name uncultured bacterium. RNAcentral's name for it is "bacterial SSU rRNA". It matches the Rfam family "Bacterial small subunit ribosomal RNA", at positions 28 to 505 of the family's 1533-position model. The record is from RNAcentral.